UGUUGGGUUUAUACAUUUGUACGGUUAAAAACUGAUGUAACUGACAGAAUAAUCAAACAUUAACACGUGGCAUGCCAUGUAUGCUUCAUGUUGAACUUAUAAUGACCAAUUUUUAAUAGUAAAAAUAUAUUAAUUUUUUAAUA
RNAcentral lists this microRNA precursor (143 nucleotides) under Gossypium arboreum. RNAcentral's name for it is "MIR7502 microRNA precursor family". It matches the Rfam family "MIR7502 microRNA precursor family". The record is from Rfam by way of RNAcentral. Lineage: Eukaryota; Viridiplantae; Streptophyta; Magnoliopsida; Malvales; Malvaceae.